RNAcentral lists this unclassified non-coding RNA (207 nucleotides) under plant metagenome. RNAcentral describes it as "partial contains small subunit ribosomal RNA and internal transcribed spacer 1". The stretch from base 1 to 46 matches the Rfam family "Eukaryotic small subunit ribosomal RNA", at positions 1786 to 1831 of the family's 1831-position model. The record is from RNAcentral.
AAGUCGUAACAAGGUUUCCGUAGGUGAACCUGCGGAAGGAUCAUUAAUGGGUUAACGCCUUCGGGCACAAUCCCCACCCUUUGUAACUGCGGCCCGGAUUCGGCGCCUGGCGGGGAGCCCCCUCUGUUCGCGGAGGGCCCCGCCUGCCGGAAUUAGCCAACCCUGCCUAGAAAAUUGAAGUCUGAGAACAAGUUAAAUUAAACAAAA